This 285-nucleotide unclassified non-coding RNA is filed under the name plant metagenome. Its description in RNAcentral is "partial contains small subunit ribosomal RNA, internal transcribed spacer 1, and 5.8S ribosomal RNA". The stretch from base 1 to 54 matches the Rfam family "Eukaryotic small subunit ribosomal RNA", at positions 1778 to 1831 of the family's 1831-position model. The record is from RNAcentral.
GGAAAUAAAAGUCGUAACAAGGUUUCCGUAGGUGAACCUGCGGAAGGAUCAUUAUUUUAUAACCGAGGUGCGAGGGCUGUCGCUGACCCGAAAGGUCGUGCACGCCCGAGUGCCCUCACACACAUCCAUCUCACCCCUAUGUGCACCACCGCGUGGGUCCCCCUUUGGCUUGUUCGGAGGGGGGCUUACGUUUUCACACAAACUUUGUAUGCAGUGUAGAAUGUAUUUUUUGUUUUUGCGAUCACGCAAUCAAUACAACUUUCAACAACGGAUCUCUUGGCUCUC